ACACAGGUUUGGUCCUGGCCUUUCUAUUAGUUCUUAGUAAAAUUACACAUGCAAGCAUCCACGCCCCGGUGAGAAUGCCCUCUAGAUCUUGAAGAUCAAAAGGAGCAGGUAUCAAGCACACCCAGACGGUAGCUCAUAACGCCUUGCUCAACCACACCCCCACGGGAGACAGCAGUGAUAAAAAUUAAGCCAUAAACGAAAGUUUGACUAAGUUAUAUUAAUUAGAGUUGGUAAAUCUCGUGCCAGCCACCGCGGUCAUACGAUUAACCCAAAUUAAUAGAUCUACGGCGUAAAGAGUGUUAAAGAAAAAACUAUAAUAGAGUUAAAUUCUAACUAAGCUGUAAAAAGCCCUAGUUAGAAUAAAAUAACCUGCAAAAGUGACUCUAAAAUCUCUGAUACACGACAGCUAGGGCCCAAACUGGGAUUAGAUACCCCACUAUGCCUAGCCCUAAACCUAGAUAGUUAUAUAACAAAACUAUUCGCCAGAGUACUACUCGCAACAGCCUAAAACUCAAAGGACUUGGCGGUGCUUCACACCCACCUAGAGGAGCCUGUUCUAUAAUCGAUAAACCCCGAUAAACCUUACCAACUCUUGCCAACUCAGCCUAUAUACCGCCAUCUUCAGCAAACCCUAAAAAGGAAUAAUAGUAAGCACAAUCAUCACACAUAAAGACGUUAGGUCAAGGUGUAGCCUAUGAGUUGGGAAGAAAUGGGCUACAUUCUCUGCACAAGAGCAUCCAUCACGAAAGUUUUUAUGAAACUAAAAACUAAAGGAGGAUUUAGCAGUAAAUCAGGAAUAGAGUGCCUGAUUGAAUAAGGCCAUGAAGCACGCACACACCGCCCGUCACCCUCCUCAAGCAUGUAGUAAUAAAAAUAAUCUAUAUUUAAUUACAUAAUCAUGUAAGAGGAGACAAGUCGUACAAAGGUAAGCGUACUGGAAAGUGUGCUUGGAUAUCAAAGUA
This 962-nucleotide non-coding RNA is filed under the name Potamochoerus larvatus (bushpig). RNAcentral describes it as "partial 12S ribosomal RNA". It matches the Rfam family "Bacterial small subunit ribosomal RNA". The record is from RNAcentral. Lineage: Eukaryota; Metazoa; Chordata; Mammalia; Artiodactyla; Suidae.